GUUUGAUUCUGGCUCAGGAUGAACGCUGGCGGCAUGCCUAAUACAUGCAAGUCGAACGGAGUGAAGCCUUCGGGUUUCAUUCAGUGGCGAACGGGUGAGUAAUACGCAGGGAACCUGGCCAUGGCAGGGGGAUACACUCUGGAAACGGAGCAUAAGACCCCAUAGGCAGUAAGGCGGCAUCGCCUUACUGUUAAAGAAAGCUGAAAGGCUUUGGCGAUGGAUGGACCUGCGGUGCAUUAGCUUGUUGGUGAGGCAACGGCUUACCAAGGCGAUGAUGCAUAGCCGGCCUGAGAGGGCGGACGGCCACACUGGGACUGAGACACGGCCCAGACUCCUGCGGGAGGCAGCAGUAGGGAAUUUUCGUCAAUGGGCGCAAGCCUGAACGAGCAAUGCCGCGUGAGUGAGGAAGGUCUUCGGACUGUAAAGCUCUGUUGCCGGGGAAAAAGGGGAAAUGCAGGAAAUGGCAUUUCAUGGAUGGUACCCGGCCAGAAAGCCACGGCUAACUACGUGCCAGCAGCCGCGGUAAUACGUAGGUGGCGAGCGUUAUCCGGAAUGAUUGGGCGUAAAGGGUGCGCAGGCGGUCUGUUAAGUCUGAAGGCAAAGGGAUGAGCUCAACUCAUUUAUGAUUCAGAAACUGGCAGACUUGAGGACAGGAGAGGGCGGUGGAACUCCAUGUGUAGCGGUAAAAUGCGCAGAGAUAUGGAAGAACACCAGUGGCGAAGGCGGCCGCCUGGCCUGUGACUGACGCUGAGGCACGAAAGCGUGGGGAGCAAAUAGGAUUAGAUACCCUAGUAGUCCACGCCGUAAACGAUGAGGAGCAGGUGUUGGGAGUGAAAUCUCAGUGCCGAAGCCAACGCAGUGACUCCUCCGCCUGGGGAGUAUGCACGCAAGUGUGAAACUCAAAGGAAUUGACGGGGGCCCGCACAAGCGGUGGAGUAUGUGGUUUAAUUCGAAGCAACGCGAAGAACCUUACCAGGUUUUGACAUCGGAUGCGAAGGCGCAGAGAUGCGCUGGAGGCUAUCAUCCAGACAGGUGGUGCAUGGUUGUCGUCAGCUCGUGUCGUGAGAUGUUCAGUUAAGUCUGGCAACGAGCGCAACCCCCGUGGUAUGUUACUAACGCAUUUGGGCGAGGACUCAUAUCAGACUGCCGGUGACAAACCGGAGGAAGGCGGGGAUGACGUCAAAUCAUCAUGCCCCUUAUGACCUGGGCUACACACGUACUACAAUGGCGUCUACAGAGGGAAGCGACCCUGAGAAGGGAAGCGAAACCGGAAAAGGGCGUCCCAGUUCGGAUUGAAGUCUGCAACCCGACUUCAUGAAGAUGGAAUCGCUAGUAAUCGCGGAUCAGCAUGCCGCGGUGAAUACGUUCCCGGGCCUUGUACACACCGCCCGUCAAACCAUGGAAGCCGGCAACGCCCGAAGCCGGUGGCAUAACCUUUUAGGAGUGAGCCGUCGAAGGCGGGGCCGAUGACUGGGGUUAAGUCGUAACAAGGUACCC
RNAcentral lists this ribosomal RNA (1497 nucleotides) under uncultured bacterium. RNAcentral's name for it is "16S ribosomal RNA". It matches the Rfam family "Bacterial small subunit ribosomal RNA". The record is from RNAcentral.